RNAcentral lists this transfer RNA (71 nucleotides) under Stegodyphus mimosarum. It matches the Rfam family "tRNA". From Rfam's summary of the family: Transfer RNA (tRNA) molecules are approximately 80 nucleotides in length. Their secondary structure includes four short double-helical elements and three loops (D, anti-codon, and T loops). Further hydrogen bonds mediate the characteristic L-shaped molecular structure. tRNAs have two regions of fundamental functional importance: the anti-codon, which is responsible for specific mRNA codon recognition, and the 3' end, to which the tRNAs corresponding amino acid is attached (by aminoacyl-tRNA synthetases). tRNAs cope with the degeneracy of the genetic code in two manners: having more than one tRNA (with a specific anti-codon) for a particular amino acid; and 'wobble' base-pairing, i.e. permitting non-standard base-pairing at the 3rd anti-codon position. The record is from Rfam by way of RNAcentral. Lineage: Eukaryota; Metazoa; Arthropoda; Arachnida; Araneae; Eresidae.
GCCUUCAUGGUGCAAUGGUAGCACACCGGGCGUGUAUUCGAGAGGUCCAGGUUCGAGUCCUGGCGAGAGCA